RNAcentral lists this ribosomal RNA (522 nucleotides) under uncultured bacterium. Its description in RNAcentral is "bacterial SSU rRNA". It matches the Rfam family "Bacterial small subunit ribosomal RNA", at positions 29 to 447 of the family's 1533-position model. The record is from RNAcentral.
AGUGAACGCUGGCGGCGUGCCUAACACAUGCAAGUCGAACGGGCUAGUGCUUCGCACUAGUCUCUUUCUGGGGUUGUUACUCUAAGGCUACCUGCUAAAGUUAUUGCUUUAAAGCAGGGGUUUUAGGAGACUUUCCCCGAAAGGGGCCAGUGCGGAGCACUGGCCAGUGGCGAACGGGUGAGUAACACGUGGGUAAUCUACCCUCGAGUGGGGAAUAAGCUUCCGAAAGGGGGUCUAAUGCCGCAUAACGUUUCAUAACGAUGGUUAUGAAACCAAAGCCCCAAAAGGCGCUCGAGGAGGAGCCUGCGUCCUAUCAGCUUGUUGGCAGGGUAAUGGCCUACCAAGGCUAUGACGGGUAGCCGGCCUGAGAGGGUGUCCGGCCACACUGGGGACUGAGACACGGCCCAGACUCCUACGGGAGGCAGCAGUGGGGAAUAUUGCACAAUGGGCGAAAGCCUGAUGCAGCGACGCCGCGUGAGGGAUGACGGCCUCGGUUGGUUAACCGUACUUCUACGCAGGAGG